CCUACGGGAGGCAGCAGUGGGGAAUAUUGGGCAAUGGAGGAAACCCUGACCCAGCAACGCCGCGUGAAUGAUGAAGGUUUUCGGAUUGUAAAGUUCUUUUCUAAGGGACGAAGAAAGUGACGGUACCUUAGGAAUAAGCCUCGGCUAACUACGUGCCAGCAGCCGCGGUAAUACGUAGGAGGCGAGCGUUAUCCGGAAUGACUGGGCGUAAAGGGCGCGUAGGCGGUUUGGCAAGUUAGUAGUGAAACCCCAAGGCUCAACCUUGGAACUACAUUUAAAACUGUUGGACUUGAGUGCAGGAGAGGCAACCGGAAUUCCUAGUGUAGCGGUGGAAUGCGUAGAUAUUAGGAGGAACACCAGUGGCGAAGGCGGGUUGCUAGACAGUAACUGACACUGAGGCACGAAAGCGUGGGGAGCAAACAGGAUUAGAUACCCUGGUAGUC
Molecule: ribosomal RNA, 443 nt
Filed under: uncultured bacterium
Lineage: Bacteria
Description: partial 16S ribosomal RNA
Rfam family: Bacterial small subunit ribosomal RNA
Source: RNAcentral